CCCUUUCGGGGGUACUCGAGCGGCGAACGGGUGAGUAACACGUGAGUAAUCUGCCCUGCGCUCUGGGAUAGCCACCGGAAACGGUGAUUAAUACCGGAUAGGACCACUUCACGCAUGUGAUGGUGGUGGAAAGUUUUUUCGGCGCAGGAUGUGCUCGCGGCCUAUCAGCUUGUUGGUGAGGUAACGGCUCACCAAGGCUUUGACGGGUAACCGGCCUGAGAGGGUGACCGGUCACACUGGGACUGAGACACGGCCCAGACUCCUACGGGAGGCAGCAGUGGGGAAUAUUGGACAAUGGGCGGAAGCCUGAUCCAGCAACGCCGCGUGAGGGAUGACGGCCUUCGGGUUGUAAACCUCUUUCAGUACCGACGAAGCGAAAGUGACGGUAGGUACAGAAGAAGGACCGGCCAACUACGUGCCAGCAGCCGCGGUAAUACGUAGGGUCCGAGCGUUGUCCGGAAUUAUUGGGCGUAAAGGGCUCGUAGGCGGUUUGUCGCGUCGGGAGUGAAAACACCGGGCUUAACUCGGUGCUUGCUUUCGAUACGGGCAGACUAGAGGUAUGCAGGGGAGAAUGGAAUUCCUGGUGUAGCGGUGAAAUGCGCAGAUAUCAGGAGGAACACCGGUGGCGAAGGCGGUUCUCUGGGCAUUACC
This 651-nucleotide ribosomal RNA is filed under the name uncultured Actinomycetes bacterium. RNAcentral describes it as "bacterial SSU rRNA". It matches the Rfam family "Bacterial small subunit ribosomal RNA", at positions 76 to 740 of the family's 1533-position model. The record is from RNAcentral. Lineage: Bacteria; Bacillati; Actinomycetota; Actinomycetes.